CCAUUACCAUCGAUUAUUUUUGUUUUCGUUUGUCAGCGGUUCGAUUCAUGAAAAUUGAUGCAAUGGUUUCUUUUUGAAAUGAAGAGGUGGACAGAGAUCUUCUGGAUCUCCCCGCCAGAAUGUCCUCCUCAUCUCCGGGCGAUAACUACGUUUUGGGUCUUUUUCUUUCUUUUUGGAAAAAUGAACUAGUCUCGUAGAAUCUCCAAUUGUUUCUCGGAAUCGUGUUUUCUCGAAACAAGGAGAUCAUUGGACACAUCCGAACAAUUUGGAGAUGUCGGUGAGCUACAAAUAUUGGGAUGAUUGUGUGGAUCCGGAGGAGAUGCAAUUGUUGUGGAAGGACGCGGAUGUGUGCAAGGAAUGGAUCGAUGCGGGAGAAAAGAUGGGGAAGAAGGUUCUCCUCUCACGAGAUCCUGAGGGACAGCUGUAUCUCACGCAAACAGAAAUGAGGGCUGUUGCUGAAAUUGUUGUCCAUCUGCACUUCAAUUCACAAUUGGCAUCGGAUAUGAUAUGUGCUCUUGCUGAAAUUGUCAGUGACAGACAACUUCAGGCAGAGUAUUAUGAUCGAAAGACAAAGCAGGCUAGAAUUGGCAUAAUGCAGAUAGCUCCAGAAAAUGCAGAAUGGCUUGUCAGGGAAAUGGGCUACCGGAACUAUGAAAUAGAGGGAAUUUCAACAUUGCUAUUCAGGCCAUUUGUGAACGUCUACUUUGGAGCAGCUUAUCUAAAGUGGCUAUCCUAUUGUGAUGGAAAAGAAAGGACUGAAGAGUUUGUCAUUAGAGCUUACAAAGGGGGUAUCAAGAAGGCUACUCAUAAGUCAACAGCUGACUUUUUCCAGCGUUAUCUAUCCAUCAAACAGAGUUUGCUCCCCAAGAGGGAAGAGGAGAUAUCUGAUGCUUUGCAUACUGCUAGACCAAUUUCUGUGACUUCAGGAUCAGGUGAAGGGUGGACAUACUGGGACUAUAGAGUAUCAUCAGAAGACAUGGAAGUGCUUUGGAGGCAUCCUGAAGUUCUAAAAGAGUGGACAAGAUCUGGUGAGAGACGUGGGAGAGUACGCUUCUCUCAUGAUUCAGAGAAGAGACCUUAUCUUUCUCGAGUUGAAGUUAAGGCUGUUGCUGAACUAAUUAUUUCGCGAUACUUCAGUAAAAGAGGAAUAAAACCAACAGCUCUAGCUGCUCUUGCUGAAGUAUGUAGCAUGCGAUUUGUUAAUGGUGUUCGUGCACGUACAGGAUUAAUGGGAAUUGAUUAUCCUACUGCUGCCUGGCUAUACAAGGAUGUUGGCUGUCGGGCAUAUAAAGUUAUGUCUGUUGAUGAUCUCUAUAAUCCUUUGGUGUCCAUGUACUUUGGUGCAUCUUAUUUGGCCUGGCUUUCACAGUAUGAAGGGAGAGAAAGAAGCUAUCAGUUCAUCGUGCAGGCCUAUCUGUGUGGGCCAGAGAAUGUAAAUCUUCAGGAGACAGGCCCAUUUUGGAAUAGAUUCCAGCAGGCCUUAUGCUACUAUGAAGAUCCAAAAAAGUGUAUAUUACUGUUUCACAACGUGGUUUGUAUUACUAGUCAGGAUUUUGUUUACAAUUCUGGCUGACAUAUCUUCAGGGACCAAGGGAGCUGCUGCAUACUAUGAAACAUUAAAACUAUCUUUCGGUAUCUUCUUGUACAUCUAUUACUGCAAAAGUCGAUGAUCUCUGCAUCAACUGGUAAUUAAUGUAAGGGUGCUGGAUUCCUAGAUUAUAUGAUUUCGGAUGCUGUCUCAUACAGAAAAAUAGGUUUUGGUUACCUACCUCACUGUCGAUGGACUACUAUUGAAGAAAUUGGUUUUUUUGUUGUGGGUGCCAAUUCAUUUGGCUCUUUAACUCAUAAACUUCUUUGGAAAUCAGGCCACACUGGCCGUAGCUUAAUGUUCCUUUUCCUUUCUUCAAGUGCUGUAAUUAUGUGUGGAAAUAUCUCCAAUACAUGACAGAUUAAUACUCGUCCACAUGAAUCAGCCGUAUACCAUAGUUUGCAGUUGAA
This is an RNA transcript of Musa acuminata AAA Group (dessert banana), 1998 nucleotides long. RefSeq lists it as uncharacterized. The record is from RefSeq and is a predicted model, not a curated record. NCBI's taxonomy places the organism in Eukaryota, Viridiplantae, Streptophyta, Magnoliopsida, Zingiberales, Musaceae. The transcript is spliced from 14 exons.